AACGAACGCUGGCGGCAUGCCUAACACAUGCAAGUCGAACGAGACCUUCGGGUCUAGUGGCGCACGGGUGCGUAACGCGUGGGAAUCUGCCCUUGGGUUCGGAAUAACAGUUAGAAAUGACUGCUAAUACCGGAUAAUGUCUUCGGACCAAAGAUUUAUCGCCCAGGGAUGAGCCCGCGUAGGAUUAGCUAGUUGGUGAGGUAAAGGCUCACCAAGGCGACGAUCCGUAACUGGUCUGAGAGGAUGAUCAGUCACACCGGAACUGAGACACGGUCCGGACUCCUACGGGAGGCAGCAGUGGGGAAUAUUGGACAAUGGGCGAAAGCCUGAUCCAGCAAUACCGCGUGUGUGAAGAAGGCC
RNAcentral lists this ribosomal RNA (360 nucleotides) under uncultured bacterium. Its description in RNAcentral is "bacterial SSU rRNA". It matches the Rfam family "Bacterial small subunit ribosomal RNA", at positions 29 to 416 of the family's 1533-position model. The record is from RNAcentral.